Molecule: ribosomal RNA, 253 nt
Filed under: uncultured bacterium
Lineage: Bacteria
Description: partial 16S ribosomal RNA
Rfam family: Bacterial small subunit ribosomal RNA
Source: RNAcentral
UACGUAGGGCGCAAGCGUUGUCCGGAAUUAUUGGGCGUAAAGAGCUCGUAGGUGGCCUGUUGCGUCUGCCGUGAAAGCCCGUGGCUUAACUGCGGGUCUGCGGUGGAUACGGGCAGGCUAGAGGCUGGUAGGGGCAAGCGGAAUUCCUGGUGUAGCGGUGAAAUGCGCAGAUAUCAGGAAGAACACCCGUGGCGAAGGCGGCUCUCUGGGACGGUACUGACGCUGAGACGCGAAAGCGUGGGGAGCAAACAGG